CGGGUAGAGUUUCUACUUAAAUAAUUUCUGUCACCCAAAAAAAAGGGUAGAGUGUCCACUUAAAUAAUUUCUAUUGAAUGGUUAAAAUUUGAGCUUAAUGAUUAGCGACAGUUAAACUCGACAUCUGUGAUUAGUUCACAUGAUCAUUGAAGAAUAUGAUACUUAAGUUAGAGAGAAUAAUUAGAAGGACAAAAUGAACAUUUAUGUUUAUACCUAAUUAUCGAAUCUCAUAUGAGAAUAAAAUACAUAUACUGCGGGUCAGGGAAAAAAUAUUACAGAUUUAUUGACUUCUUUGAUCUUAUAUAUUCCAAGAGUUCAUUUUUUUGCAUUUAGUAAAAAAACAAAAACUAAUAAUUAGAUUGGAUGGUGUAAAGUCGACUUGACAGAAUCUAAUCAUUGGAGUUUAGAUAAUUUAUGUCCGAUCACUCCUGUGAUAGCUCUAUAAAAUAUUGUAAUUUAAUUACGGUAAUUAUAAUAGUUUUG
This 483-nucleotide long non-coding RNA is filed under the name Olea europaea subsp. europaea. The record is from RNAcentral. Lineage: Eukaryota; Viridiplantae; Streptophyta; Magnoliopsida; Lamiales; Oleaceae.